RNAcentral lists this ribosomal RNA (430 nucleotides) under Acidobacteriota bacterium. Its description in RNAcentral is "Acidobacteria bacterium partial 16S ribosomal RNA". It matches the Rfam family "Bacterial small subunit ribosomal RNA", at positions 355 to 776 of the family's 1533-position model. Lineage: Bacteria; Pseudomonadati; Acidobacteriota. The record is from RNAcentral.
UGGGGAAUAUUGGACAAUGGGCGCAAGCCUGAUCCAGCCAUGCCGCGUGUGUGAAGAAGGCCUUUUGGUUGUAAAGCACUUUAAGCGAGGAGGAGGCUACUUGGAUUAAUACUCUAGGAUAGUGGACGUUACUCGCAGAAUAAGCACCGGCUAACUCUGUGCCAGCAGCCGCGGUAAUACAGAGGGUGCGAGCGUUAAUCGGAUUUACUGGGCGUAAAGCGUGCGUAGGCGGCUUUUUAAGUCGGAUGUGAAAUCCCUGAGCUUAACUUAGGAAUUGCAUUCGAUACUGGGAAGCUAGAGUAUGGGAGAGGAUGGUAGAAUUCCAGGUGUAGCGGUGAAAUGCGUAGAGAUCUGGAGGAAUACCGAUGGCGAAGGCAGCCAUCUGGCCUAAUACUGACGCUGAGGUAAGAAAGCAUGGGGAGCAAACAGG